AGAAAAGGUUGAAAAGUACUCCACCCUUUUCGUGUGGUUGAAUUUUUGCUUUAAAAUUAAAUUACAUUCUUAAAGAGUGAGAAUUGUUCUAUAUUUCUGCAACGAAAAAUUAAGUUCAUUGUUAAAGACAACUUUUGCACAAAAUGUGAAAGAUAUAUUUGAUUUCAAAACUCCACCCUUCUUUGGUACGAUGAUAGAAAAUUAAGAUUGAAUCAAACUCCACCCUUUUAGUGUGAUUUAAUUUUUGCUUUAAAAUUAAAUUACAUUCUUAAAGAGUGAGAAUUAUUAGUGUACCCCUCAAACUUCCAUCUCUAUUAUGUUAUAUGCAAGGAAUUCUAACUUUUUUUCUCCAUUUAUGGUCAUGGUUAUCAGAUUGGGAACUGGUCAAGUUGGCUAACUGACCUAUUUGGUAUAGACGAUGAUGACUCACAUGAAGAUGUGAAUGACGAUGAUGACAAUGACGAGGAGGCUGUCACAAACGUCCCAUGCACCGGAGCUGGUACAACAGUCUAUUUGCCACCCUCAACAGCUUCCGUUGAGAGUAUUAUUGGAGGUUGGAAGCCAAUCACAGCUGAGAAGAAGUGGGUCUUCAGUGCUAAGAAAAUCAUACACCAGUGAUGAUGAGCUUGAUGAACUAAAUUCACCCUUGGCCUCAAUCUUCAUCGAUUCUUCCCGGUCUUCGCCAGUUGCAACAAAGCCCAGCUGGGUAUCGAAGAGAAAUGGCAAUCAAACUUCUGUCAGAUUGGGAACAGGUCAAGAUGGCUAACUGACCUAUUUGGUAUAGACGAUGAUGACUCACUUGAAGAUGUGAAUGACGAUGAUGACAAUGAC
Molecule: non-coding RNA, 831 nt
Organism: Malus domestica (apple)
Lineage: Eukaryota; Viridiplantae; Streptophyta; Magnoliopsida; Rosales; Rosaceae
Source: RefSeq, a predicted model, not a curated record